RNAcentral lists this ribosomal RNA (505 nucleotides) under uncultured bacterium. Its description in RNAcentral is "partial 16S ribosomal RNA". It matches the Rfam family "Bacterial small subunit ribosomal RNA", at positions 28 to 507 of the family's 1533-position model. The record is from RNAcentral.
GACGAACGCUGGCGGCGUGCCUAAUACAUGCAAGUAGAACGCACAGUUUAUACCGUAGCUUGCUACACCAUAGACUGUGAGUUGCGAACGGGUGAGUAACGCGUAGGUAACCUGCCUGGUAGCGGGGGAUAACUAUUGGAAACGAUAGCUAAUACCGCAUAAUAUUAAUUAUUGCAUGAUAAUUAAUUGAGAGGUGCAAUUGCACCACUACCAGAUGGACCUGCGUUGUAUUAGCUAGUAGGUGAGGUAACGGCUCACCUAGGCGACGAUACAUAGCCGACCUGAGAGGGUGAUCGGCCACACUGGGACUGAGACACGGCCCAGACUCCUACGGGAGGCAGCAGUAGGGAAUCUUCGGCAAUGGACGAAAGUCUGACCGAGCAACGCCGCGUGAGUGAAGAAGGUUUUCGGAUCGUAAAGCUCUGUUGUAAGAGAAGAACGGGUGUGAGAGUGGAAAGUUCACACUGUGACGGUAGCUUACCAGAAAGGGACGGCUAACUACGUG